This 382-nucleotide unclassified non-coding RNA is filed under the name Hevea brasiliensis (rubber tree). The record is from RNAcentral. Lineage: Eukaryota; Viridiplantae; Streptophyta; Magnoliopsida; Malpighiales; Euphorbiaceae.
GGACUCAGGAACUGUCCACAUCCUGUCACCAUUUUUACCCCAUUAGCAUCUCACAUAACUUAACUGCAAACAAUUUAAAUUAUAACAAAAAAAAAGAAAAAACGGAGGUAGAAAUUUUUUUUAUUUUUUUAUUUUCUGAGAAAUCAUUCUAAGAGUGAAAUUUAUCCAUGUAAAAUUAAAUGCGCUAAAAGCUGAAAAAUGAAUUGAAUGCUAAACAAAUACUCUCUGAGUUCUUUUUUUUUGUUUUUUUUCCCUGCCAACUGAUUUAGUUGCAAGCUAUGAAAUGACCAAUUCAACAAUUUUAUCAAGAACUUGCAGUCACAUCUGCAAUAUAUAUAGAAUCAAAAUUAUGGCACGUGAUUGAAUCAGAGGAAACCACCAC